RNAcentral lists this ribosomal RNA (470 nucleotides) under uncultured bacterium. Its description in RNAcentral is "bacterial SSU rRNA". It matches the Rfam family "Bacterial small subunit ribosomal RNA", at positions 28 to 524 of the family's 1533-position model. The record is from RNAcentral.
GAUGAACGCUGGCGGCGUGCCUAACACAUGCAAGUCGAGCGAUUCUCUUCGGAGAAGAGCGGCGGACGGGUGAGUAACGCGUGGGUAACCUGCCCUGUACACACGGAUAACAUACCGAAAGGUAUGCUAAUACGAGAUAAUAUACUUUUAUCGCAUGGUAGAAGUAUCAAAGCUUUUGCGGUACAGGAUGGACCCGCGUCUGAUUAGCUAGUUGGUAAGGUAACGGCUUACCAAGGCGACGAUCAGUAGCCGACCUGAGAGGGUGAUCGGCCACAUUGGAACUGAGACACGGUCCAAACUCCUACGGGAGGCAGCAGUGGGGAAUAUUGCACAAUGGGCGAAAGCCUGAUGCAGCAACGCCGCGUGAGCGAUGAAGGCCUUCGGGUCGUAAAGCUCUGUCCUCAAGGAAGAUAAUGACGGUACUUGAGGAGGAAGCCCCGGGCUAACUACGUGCCAGCAGCCGCGGUAAU